UGCAGAAUCCCGUGAACCAUCGAGUCUUUGAACGCAAGUUGCGCCCCAAGCCUUCUGGCCGAGGGCACGUCUGCCUGGGUGUCACAAAUCGUCGUCCCCCCAACCUCUCGAGGAUAAGGGACGGAAGCUGGUCUCCCGUGUGUUACCGCACGCGGUUGGCCAAAAUCCGAGCAAAGGAUGCCAGGAGCGUCUCGACAUGCGGUGGUGAAUUCAAACCUCGUCAUACAGUCGUUCGUUCCGGUCCAAAAGCUCACGAUGACCCAAAGUCCUCAACGCGACCCCAGGUCAGGCGGGAUCACCCGCUGAGUUUAAGCAUAUCAAUAAGCGGAGGAAAAGAAACUAACAAGGAUUCCCUUAGUAACGGCGAGCGAACCGGGAAGAGCCCAGCUUGAAAAUCGAACGUCUUCGGCGUUCGA
This 416-nucleotide ribosomal RNA is filed under the name Diplotaxis tenuifolia. RNAcentral's name for it is "eukaryotic LSU rRNA". The stretch from base 276 to 416 matches the Rfam family "Eukaryotic large subunit ribosomal RNA", at positions 1 to 141 of the family's 3401-position model. The record is from RNAcentral. Lineage: Eukaryota; Viridiplantae; Streptophyta; Magnoliopsida; Brassicales; Brassicaceae.